RNAcentral lists this ribosomal RNA (876 nucleotides) under Escherichia coli. RNAcentral describes it as "bacterial LSU rRNA". It matches the Rfam family "Bacterial large subunit ribosomal RNA", at positions 773 to 1566 of the family's 2925-position model. The record is from RNAcentral. Lineage: Bacteria; Pseudomonadati; Pseudomonadota; Gammaproteobacteria; Enterobacterales; Enterobacteriaceae.
ACCGAACCGACUAAUGUUGAAAAAUUAGCGGAUGACCUGUGGCUGGGGGUGAAAGGCCAAUCAAACCGGGAGAUAGCUGGUUCUCCCCGAAAGCUAUUUAGGUAGCGCCUCGUGAAUUCAUCUCCGGGGGUAGAGCACUGUUUCGGCUAGGGGGCCAUCCCGGCUUACCAACCCGAUGCAAACUGCGAAUACCGGAGAAUGUUAUCACGGGAGACACACGGCGGGUGCUAACGUCCGUCGUGAAGAGGGAAACAACCCAGACCGCCAGCUAAGGUCCCAAAGUCAUGGUUAAGUGGGAAACGAUGUGGGAAGGCCCAGACAGCCAGGAUGUUGGCUUAGAAGCAGCCAUCAUUUAAAGAAAGCGUAAUAGCUCACUGGUCGAGUCGGCCUGCGCGGAAGAUGUAACGGGGCUAAACCAUGCACCGAAGCUGCGGCAGCGAACGUAUCACUUAAAGCGAUUCAGCGGGUUACGAUUGACGGAGCGAAGCGACGUCAAAGCGUAUACAAAGUCGAGUCGGUUUAAGGAUACGUUCGUUGGGUAGGGGAGCGUUCUGUAAGCCUGUGAAGGUGUGUCGUGAGGCAUGCUGGAGGUAUCAGAAGUGCGAAUGCUGACAUAAGUAACGAUAAAGCGGGUGAAAAGCCCGCUCGCCGGAAGACCAAGGGUUCCUGUCCAACGUUAAUCGGGGCAGGGUGAGUCGACCCCUAAGGCGAGGCCGAAAGGCGUAGUCGAUGGGAAACGGGUUAAUAUUCCCGUACUUGGUGUUACUGCGAAGGGGGGACGGAGAAGGCUAUGUUGGCCGGGCGACGGUUGUCCCGGUUUAAGCGUGUAGGUGUGUGUUCCAGGUAAAUCCGGUUCACUUUAACACUGAGGCGUGA